Molecule: ribosomal RNA, 433 nt
Filed under: uncultured bacterium
Lineage: Bacteria
Description: partial 16S ribosomal RNA
Rfam family: Bacterial small subunit ribosomal RNA
Source: RNAcentral
AACGAACGCUGGCGGCAUGCCUAACACAUGCAAGUCGAACGAGACCUUCGGGUCUAGUGGCGCACGGGUGCGUAACGCGUGGGAACCUGCCCUUAGGUUCGGAAUAACUCCCCGAAAGGGGUGCUAAUACCGGAUAAUGUCUUCGGACCAAAGAUUUAUCGCCUUUGGAUGGGCCCGCGUUGGAUUAGCUAGUUGGUAGGGUAAAAGCCUACCAAGGCGACGAUCCAUAGCUGGUCUGAGAGGAUGAUCAGCCACACUGGGACUGAGACACGGCCCAGACUCCUACGGAAGGCAGCAGUGGAGAAUAUUGGACACUGAGCGAAAGCCUGAUCCAGCAAUGCCGCGUGAGUGAUGAAGGCCUUAGGGUUGUAAAGCUCUUUUACCCGGGAUGAUAAUGACAGUACCGGGAGAAUAAGCACCGGCUAACUCCGUG